GUGGAAUAGGAGAAGAAGCCAAGGUGUAAUAUUUAGGUGACAACAGGCAGAAUGAGAUGGACUUGGCGGAGGCUGUGGGCGGUCAAUUCACGGCGCAGAUUACCUACACCUUGCACCACGCUGAUUGCUCGCCGCUCUUCACUAAAGUCGGGCAAGCCUGUAUCUCCGUGUUUUGCCCUGGAUAUAGGAGUAAAUUGGACCGUUCGCACUCACGUUCGUGUUCCCAUGGGACAAGUAAAACACCAAAAGAAAGAACUAGUCUCGAUAACCUGGCGUAGUAGCAAUACACUACGAGGAAACAUCCUUGCCUAACACCCCUGAGUGGUUGUUAUAUCACUCAUCCUCCGUCACUGGUGGUGUGACUUCCACUAGUGUUGAAAGAGAGAAAGGGAUGGGACCGAUAGCGGAGCGAGAGCAGACCGUACAUGUGAAUGCACCAGGACCUUGACCAGAGCGAGAGCGGAGCAAUAGCAUAGCGAGAGCGAGGCGAGAACUUAGCGAUAGUGUGAAUCAAGCCUUAGCCUCAGAAGAUGAGGGGGCUUCGGCGCCGCGUCGGGAGCAAGCUUAGCUAGUGUAGUGUAGUGGUGUUCACUACAUGUGUGUGUGUGUGUGUGUGUGUGUGUGUGUGUGUGUGUGUGUGUGUAUGUGUGUGUGUGGG
RNAcentral lists this long non-coding RNA (658 nucleotides) under Portunus trituberculatus (swimming crab). Its description in RNAcentral is "uncharacterized LOC123516851, transcript variant X1". Lineage: Eukaryota; Metazoa; Arthropoda; Malacostraca; Decapoda; Portunidae. The record is from RNAcentral.